RNAcentral lists this unclassified non-coding RNA (329 nucleotides) under soil metagenome. RNAcentral describes it as "partial contains 5.8S ribosomal RNA, internal transcribed spacer 2, and large subunit ribosomal RNA". The stretch from base 1 to 120 matches the Rfam family "5.8S ribosomal RNA", at positions 35 to 154 of the family's 154-position model. The record is from RNAcentral.
GAUGAAGAACGUAGCGAAAUGCGAUAAGUAGUGUGAAUUGCAGAAUUCAGUGAAUCAUCGAAUCUUUGAACGCACAUUGCGCCCCCUGGUAUUCCGGGGGGCAUGCCUGUCCGAGCGUCAUUACAACCCUCAAGCUCAGCUUGGUGUUGGGCCCCGCCGCCCCGGCGGGCCCUAAAGUCAGUGGCGGUGCCGUCCGGCUCCGAGCGUAGUAAUUCUUCUCGCUCUGGAGGUCCGGUCGUGUGCUUGCCAGCAACCCCCAAUUUUUUUCAGGUUGACCUCGGAUCAGGUAGGGAUACCCGCUGAACUUAAGCAUAUCAAUAAGCGGAGGA